UUUCCAACAUACCUCACACCCUGACGAUGCCUGCCAUAGAUGUGGGUGAAACGCCAGGAGAGAAUGCUUCUGGAACAUGGCCCUACAGCCCGAAAAAUACACAGUAACCCAGACAUUUCUUUACAUUUUGAGUUUCUUCCUUUGAGUAUAUGGCAGUGUGGACUCUGGACCCCUCCACACAGCCAUAUAACCCAGAAUAUCAAGGCAGAAAAUCCCACAAGAUCUACUUUGAACUGGGGCCCCUUCCACACAGCUGAAGAAAAUUCCACAUUAUCUGCUUUGAACUGGAAUAUAUGGCAGCAUGGACUCAGAUAUCCCAGUUCAAAGCAGAUAUUGUGGGCUUAAAGAACUGGGCAUGUUUAGCCUGCAGAAGAGAAGGCUGAGAGGAGGCAUGAUAGCCAUGCAUAGAAAGUCAUAAGAAGGAGGGAGCAAACUUGUUUUCUGCUAUGCUGGAGACUAGAAAGCAAUGGAAUAAUGGCUUCAAACUACAGAAAAGGAGAUUCACCUGAACUUCCUGACUGUGGGAGCUGUUUAUCAGUGAAACUCUCUGCCCCGGAGUGUGGUGGAGGCUCCUUCUUUGAAGACUUUUAAGCAGAGGCUGGAUGGCCAUCUGUCGGGGGUGCUUUGAAUACGAUUUUCCUGCUUCUUGGCAGAGGGUUGGACUGGAUGGCCUACGAGGACUCUUCCAACUCUUAUGAAUUUCUGCCUUGAUAAUCUGGGUUAUAUGGCUGCGUGGAAGGGCCCUGAGUCCACAGUUCAAAGCCAAUAAUGUGGGAUUUUAUUCAGCUGUGUGGAAGGGGCAUUCGAUAACCCAGGGUCCUUAGUCAGUGGCUGAUACUAAAUGAGAAACUCCCUCCUGGGCACACAGAAGACUGGGUGACUUUGAAGGCGCUGAACAGACUGUGCUAUUUUUAUUUAUUUAUUACAACAUUUAUAUCCUGCCCUUCUCACCCGAGAGGGAACUCAGGGCGGCUUACAAUAAACACACAUAUAAAAAUUAUACACUACACUAUACAUCAGAUUAAAAUUAUUAACUUACAUCAACAUUAAUAAAAACAUUCUAAAAUACAAAUAGGUGUGUUCAAGUUCAAAAGACUGGGUCUGUCAACUGAGUUCUGGCAUACAUAAUAAUAAUUAGCGCUGCUAAUUAGCGUUGACUGGACAGGAAAAGGCUCCUGUCCAGUCAACAUCCGGGUGGCCAUCUGCCGGGAGGGAUCGGAUGGUGUCUAUGGCACCACGAGAUGCAGAGCUAACCUUAAGAAAUGAGGCUUCAAAGUGGAGCCCACAACAUGUGCGUGUGGAGAACAGCAAACCACAGACCACUUACUACAAUGCAGCCUGAGCCCUGCCACAUGCACAAUGGAGGGCCUUCCUAUAGCAUCACCAGAGGCACUCCAAGCGGCCAGCUUCUGAUCAAAGGAAAUUUAGUAAAAUAUCACGUUUUUAACUUUGUGGUUUUUCAUGUAUUAUAACUGUAUUCUCAAUUCGCUUCUAACACGUUAAAUAAGCUCAAAUGUCUGGUUCCGUGCCAAACAGAGGUAUGGAUCUUAGGAAACAAAAAUGCAAAACUCAAGGGACAAAGUGCUGAUUUGGGUAAUCAAAAACUUGGCUGUCAAUAAAAGUAUUAAUGAAUGCACACACUCUAAGCUUCUAUUUAUGUGAAGGAGCUGCAGACUUUCAGCUUCUUGUGAAUUGUACCGCAUUUUGGGCUUAUCUGACUGGCAAGGGAAGUCACUUAUUUUGCAUAAAUACAUACAUACAGUGAAUCUGAUAGUUAUCUGGCGUGAGAAAUAACCAGAGGGAUUUGCCCAGCCUUUUCCAUUCUCAGGAGACUAUCUGAACAGGGUCACAGAGGGGUGAGUGUUUUUAAAUUACAUUUUGAUACAUUUUAGCAGUUUAUAUACAUUUCAUAUAUAAGAAAUAGAUACAGUACACAGUUGAAAGAUGCAAGUUACACAAAAUCAUAAAGUUGAUACAGUUUAUUGAAGGAUAUGAUAGAGUUUAGGGUUUAACAGCUGUUGGUUUGGUCUCAGUCUUCUGAUGCUUUGAACUUGCGCAAGUCCAGAAAGGGUCUUUUAAAAAUGAAAAAAAUCAUAUAUUUAUUUCCAAGCCCUUGGUGAACUAUAAAUCUUCAAGGGUGGGAGUUACCAUAGCUUGAUAACGUAAGCAUUUCAGACUUUCUUCCUAGAUAUGCUGGUCAUUUGUUUCAGUUCUUCUCCAGUGAUUUCUUCCCUGUUCUAAAUUCUUAUCCAUGUCCCUUAGCUCAGUUGAAAGUUCUUUAGUCAUCCAUUCCAUCACUGCUCGAUCAUCACUGUUGGUUAAGAUCAGAUCUAAAAUAGCUGAUCCCCUUGUUGCUUCAGGACAAUGUAAUGAUCUACAAGACAGGUGAGGAAUUUGUUGGACCUUAUAUUCCUAGCAGAGUUUGACUUCCAAUAAGUAUCAGAAUAGUACACUAAUACUACAUCUCUCUGACAUAAUGGACCCAUACGUGAACUCUGGAAUAUUAGUCCUUGAGGAAGCCUAUGUGUGUGCACUGUGCAUGAGAAGACAUGUAUGGCCACAAGAGGGCACUUUUAAAACUCCUAUCAGAAGUCAGGGAAGGACAUUUUAUUGGGCUGUGUGCUGAACAAUGGUUUAUUUAAUGAAUCACUCGUUUAUUGAUAUGCUUAUAUUUGUAAAGAUACCUAUGUUUCACCUAUUUGGAUUAUCAAGAAAUAAGCCAGAACAUUUUAAAAAUCAUACUUAUCCCCUUGUUGCUUCAGGACAAUGUAAUAAUCUACAAAGUAGGUGAGGAAUUUGUUGGACCUUAUAUUCUUUGCAGAGUUUGACUUCCAAAAAGUAUCAGGAUAGUUGAAAUCUUCCACUAAUACUACACCUCUCAAUAAUGAAUCUAUAUGUGAACAGUGAAAUGUUACUGGUACUCCAUGCAGAAGUGCAUGUGUGUGCAUGAGAAGACAUGUCUGGCCACAAGAGGGCACUUUUAGAACUCUUUUCUACCAGAAUUCAGGUAAGAACGUUUUAUUGAGCUGUGUGCUGAUCAUUUUUUUUAGUGAAUCACUCAUUUAUUGAUAUGCUUGUAUUUGUAAGGAGCCUCUAGUAAUGCAGCGGGUUAAACCGCUGAGCUGUGAAACUUGCUGACCAAAUGGUUGGUGGUUCGAAUCUGGGGAGCGGGUGGACUCCCAUUGUUAGCCCCAGCUUCUGCCAACCUAGCAGUUUGAAAACAUACAAAAUGUGAGUAGAUCAAUGGGUACCGCUCCUGUGGGAAGGUAACGGUGCUCCAUGCAGUCAUACCGGCCACAUGGCCUUGGAGGUGUCAAUAGACAACGUUGGCUCUUCGGCUUAGAAAUGGAGCAGAGUCAAACACGUCUAGACUUAAUGUCAGGGGAAAACCUUUACCGUAUAUUUGUAAAGAUACCUAUGUUUCACCUACUUGGAGUCUCAAGAACUAAGGCAGAUAGUUUUUUUUAUUUUAUCUGAGCCUACACAAACUAUAAAAUUUCUUUGAAAUAUCUUCACAAUUCAAGGACAUACUUAAAAUUAAACAAACCCUUGCUCAAGGAAUCUAAACAGUUCUUUCUCACUAGUUUACUAGAAUAGGAAAUACUCCAUAAAUCUAAAGCAUUGGCAUCAUUGUCAAAGUUCAACACAGCCAUCCUGACCAGUUGUAGAAGUUUUCCAGUUAUUAUAAACCUUGGGUAUCUGAAUGAUUCACUGGAAUGCACUAUCUAAUGUACCAUAAAGAAAUAUGCUGUAAGAUAAUGUGUACCUGGCAAAGGUGUAGGAAUCUAUAUGCACAUUUCUGUUGCAGUGGUACAUGUUUAUACAAGAGUAUGGUUAUCGAUACUAGUGUCUAUAUGAUUUUAUUUAUACAUUUUCUAUCAUGUUUCCUCCCUCAGAUCUAUAACUCAGGGUGACAACAAGAACCAGGUCCUGUCUACAUGGACUUCAUAGCUUCUUUGAUCCUGACACACAAUAUUUUUCAUGUCAGGAGCAACUUGAGAAACUGCAAGUUACUCCUGGUGUAAGAGAAUUGACCUUCUGCAAUGAUGUUGCCCAGGGGAUGCCCAGAUGUUUUGAUGUUUUUACCAUCCUUGUGAGAGGCUUCUCUCAUGUCCCUGCAUGGAGCUGGAGCUGAUAAAGGAAUCUCAUCCACGCUUUCCCCAGGUUGGAUUCGACCUGGCAACCUUCAGGUAGCUGUAUGGAGCAACAACUGGAGAUGGAGCCUAAAAGGCUGGAAGGGACACCAGCAGAGGGUGAGAAUAGGAAACAAAUCAGGCGGCUCUCACUGCAGCUUGGGUUCAUGAUUCUGCAGUGGAUAGUCUUGCUCAUCUGCCUUGUCCUCGUUGGUUUGUGUUACUUUAAGAGCCCAGGUCCACAGACACAAUGGAUAUUUAUCAAGAAUAGCAGACAGCAAUACUGAAGAAUUACAUCUUUAUACUGUUUGAGUAUUGAACUAUGACUUUGGAAAGCAGGGUUCAGCUAUGGAAACUCACAGGGUAACCUCAGGGAAGUUACACUCUCUCAGCCUUAGAAGAUGACAAACCCAAAGCCUCUGCGAAAAAACUUGCCAAGAACACCCAAAUGAGCUCUAUACUCUAGGUUCAUGAAGUACUUGUGUGUGAAACAUAAGAAUGAUCAUGGAUUUUGAUGAAAAUACAACAGCUAACCAACCCUAUUUUUUUCCUCACCCAUUAGAAACUGCAGAUGAAGUUCUCAGCUGGUCAGUUCUAGUAGCAAAGCUUGAUUAUUCCCUUCUGUGCUCUCUUACACUCAGGCCACAAUUGAACAUAAGAACAGUUCAAAUAAAGAUAUUAAUGUGUUGGAAGAUUUUUUUAUUGUGUCAGAAGUGACUUAAGAACAUACUGCAAGUUGCUUCUGGUGUGAGGAUUAGCCAUCUACAGAGCCUCUGGUGGUGCGGUGGAUUAAACCGCUGAACUUGCUGACUGAAAGGUUGAUGGUUUGAGUCCAGAGAGUGGGAUGAGCUCCCGCAGUUAGCCCCAGCUUCUGCCAACCCAGCAGUUUGAAAACAUGCAAAUGUGAGUAGAUCAAUAGAUACCGCUUCAGCAGGAAGGUAAAGGCACUCCAUGCAGUCAUGCUGGCCCCAUGACCUUGGAAGUGUCUACGGACAAAACCAGCUCUUCAGUUUAGAAGUGGAGAUGAGCACCAACCCCCAGGGUCGGACACAACUAGACUUAAUGUCAGGGGGAAACCUUUACCUUUAGUACAGAGACAUUGCCCACGGGAUGCCCAGAUGUGUUGCUGGGAGGCUUAUCUGAUGUCCCCGCAAGCUACAGCUUACAGAUGGAAGCUCACUCUGUCUCGCGGAUUCAAACUGGCAACCUUCGGGUCAGUAAUCUAACCUUCAGGUCAGCAGUUCACAUGGGUUUAAAGCAUUGCAUUACCAUGGCUUCUUUGUUGGAAGAUUAUAUGUGGCAGACUGCAAAGUCCCAGUCUCUAAGCCUCACACAUGCACUCAUCCAACUGUCAGCACUUUUGGUAACUAUUUAAAUAAACUUCUUGGUAUGGGGAAGUCUUAUUCAAGGAAGCCAAUAAUCUCAUAUACCCUUUCAAGAGCUCAAAAUGUUAUUUAUAAUAAGAAUAAAUGUGGUGGAGGCUCCUUCUUUGGAGGCUUUUAAGCAGAGGCUGGAUGGCCAUCUGUCGAGGGUUCUUUGAAUGCGAUUUUCCUGCUUCUUGGCAGGGGGUCUCUUCCAACUUUGUGAUUCUAUUAUUCUAAUAAGAAUAAUAAUAAUAAUAGUAAGUUACCAAUUGUUCUAUAUUUUAAUAACUCUCUCUGUGUAACUGCAGCCCCAGCUCCUAGAGUUGGGCAAGCAGGAACUCAGUAAGACGCAACAGGCAUUUUGUGUGACUUAUAGAGGGAGAUUUAAGGGACUGAAACAGGACUGGAGUUCUGUUUCAGUGUAUACUUAAAAGUAUUGAAAAUGGAUGGCGAGGAAGCUGCUUCACUCACCUACAACAGCUGUGGUAAAUUCCGUUUUUGCCAGAGGAUCUGUAUAAGAGACCAGUAUAAGAGAAAAGGCAGGGCUACUCAAUACCUUCUUUGCCUUGGUCUUCUCUCCCAAAAUAGAAGUGGUUCAACUUGGAAAAAAUGGAGCAGAUGAAAUACUGGGGCAGUUAGGAGUACCUUUGGGAGACAGGCAUGUUUAGCCAGGAAAAGAGAAGGUUAUGAGAUGACAUGAUAGCCAUAUUUAGAAAGGAUGUCAUAUUGAAGAUGGAGCCUGGGGGCAUCCAUCCAUAUGUGGCAAUGGAUUUAAGCUAUAGGAAACGUGACACCAGGUAAACAUUAGGAAGAACUUUCUGAUGUUAAGAACUGUUCAGCAAUAGAAUAUGCUGCUUUGGAAUGUGGUUGACUCUCAUUCUCUAUAGAUUUUUAACAUGGGCUGAAUGGCUAUCUGUUUAGCAUGCUUUGAAUGUGUAUUCCUGCAUGGCAGGGGGUUGAACUGAAUGACCCUUCUGGUCUCUUUCAACUCUAUGAUUCUAAAUGGCUUGUUUGUUUUGUUGUGUACCUUCAGCUUUUUCUGUCAGUUUCAGCUCCCCAUGCGGGGACAUGGGGGAAGCCUCCCAUAAGGAUGGGAAAACAUCAAAACAUUCGGGCAUCCCCUGGGCAACAUCCUUGCAGAUGGCCAAUUCUCUCACACCAGAAGCAACUUGAAGUUUCUCAAGUCGCUCCCGACACAUGCACACAUUUUUUCUGUUUUAUGUGUUUUUAUGGUGAGCCUCCGGUGGCUCAGUGUGUUAAAGCGCUGAGCUGCUGAACUUGCAGACUGAAAGGUCCCAGGUUCAAAUCCGGGGAGCGGAGUGAGCGCCCGCUGUUAGCUCCAGCUUCUGCCAACCUAGCAGUUCGAAAACAUGCAAAUGUGAGUAGAUCAAUAGGUACCGCUAUGGCGGGAAGGUAACGGUGUUCCCUGCCAUCAUGCCGGCCACAUGACCUUGGAGGUGUCUACGGACAAUGCCGGCUCUUCAGCUCAGAAAUGGAGAUGAGCACCAACCCCCAGAGUCGAACACGACUGGACUUAACGUCAGGGGAGACCUUUACCUUUACUACCUAAGGUGACCCUAUUAUGGAGAUUUCUUGGCAAAAUUUGUUGUGGGCAUGUUUGUAGGGAUGCUUCAAAAGGUUUCAUCAGAACUUGCACCCCCACCUGAGUUAUGAACCACAGUCAUAAGUCUCAGCAACAAAUACUUCACAAUGAAUUGAGCUGCCUAGAAAAGCUGCUGUUUAUUUCUCAUGUUCUUUGAUGUCUUUUAUUGGUUUGCCUAUUAUUUAUCUCUUUUACAAACUCACCCCCACAGCACACUUGCUUAUUUGUAAUUAUUUUGUAAGAUAACUGCGUGUCUUUGUGGCUGAUGUCCAAUUCUGGGCAUCACAGUUAAACAGAGAUAUUGACAAGCUGGAGGAUGUCCAGAGGAGGGCAACUAAAAUGACCAAAGGUCUGGAGACCAUAAAUCCCUAUGAGGAGUGUCUUAAGGAACUAGGAAUGUUUAGCCUGCAGAAAAGAAGGUUGAGAGGAGACAUGAUAGCCAUGUAUAAAUAUGUGAAAGGAUGUCAUAAAAAAGAGGAAGCAGGCUUGUUUUCUGCUGCCUUUGAAACUAGGACUCAGAUCAAUGGGUUCAAAUUACUGGAAAGGAGAUUCCACCUGAACAUUAGGAAGAACUUUCUGACUGUACGAGUCAUUCAACACUGGAACUCUCUGCCUCAGAGUGUGGUGGAAACUCCUUCCUUGGAAGCUUUUAAACAGAGGCUAGAUGGCCAUCUGUCAGGGUUAUUUUGAUUGUGCUUUUCCUGUAUGGCCCAUGUGGUCUCUUCCAACUCUAUUAUUCUAUGAUGAAUCCAUGGCCUUCUUUGGUAUUUCUUGCA
RNA transcript from Anolis carolinensis (green anole), 7876 nucleotides. RefSeq lists it as uncharacterized. The transcript is spliced from 4 exons. The record is from RefSeq and is a predicted model, not a curated record. Lineage: Eukaryota; Metazoa; Chordata; Lepidosauria; Squamata; Anolidae.